GCCUGGGUAGCUCAGUUGGUUGAGCAUCCGACUUCAGCUCAGGUCAUGAUCUCACUGUUUGUGGGUCCGAGCCCCGCAUUGGGCU
This is a transfer RNA of Felis catus (domestic cat), 85 nucleotides long. It matches the Rfam family "tRNA". Rfam says of the family: Transfer RNA (tRNA) molecules are approximately 80 nucleotides in length. Their secondary structure includes four short double-helical elements and three loops (D, anti-codon, and T loops). Lineage: Eukaryota; Metazoa; Chordata; Mammalia; Carnivora; Felidae. The record is from Rfam.